CCUACGGGAGGCAGCAGUGAGGAAUAUUGGUCAAUGGGCGCUAGCCUGAACCAGCCAAGUAGCGUGAAGGAUGACUGCCCUAUGGGUUGUAAACUUCUUUUAUAUGGGAAUAAAGUGCAGUAUGUAUACUGCUUUGCAUGUACCUUAUGAAUAAGCAUCGGCUAACUCCGUGCCAGCAGCCGCGGUAAUACGGAGGAUUCGAGCGUUAUCCGGAUUUAUUGGGUUUAAAGGGAGCGUAGGCGGGUUGUUAAGUCAGUUGUGAAAGUUUGCGGCUCAACCGUAAAAUUGCAGUUGAUACUGGCAGCCUUGAGUACAGUAGAGGUAGGUGGAAUUCGUGGUGUAGCGGUGAAAUGCUUAGAUAUCACGAAGAACUCCGAUCGCGAAGGCAGCCUGCUGGACUGUAACUGACGCUGAGGCUCGAAAGUGUGGGUAUCAAACAGGAUUAGAUACCCCAGUAGUC
This 460-nucleotide ribosomal RNA is filed under the name uncultured bacterium. RNAcentral's name for it is "partial 16S ribosomal RNA". It matches the Rfam family "Bacterial small subunit ribosomal RNA", at positions 338 to 795 of the family's 1533-position model. The record is from RNAcentral.